AGAAAAAUAAAUCAAUAUUUAGAAAGUCUACAUUGGGUAAUGGUCACGUGAACGCAUGUGACUGCCGACAUAUGAAGUGGGGCCUACCACGUAAUCAACAAUUUCGCCACCUUCGUGCGUGAGAGCCCAACCGCUGUUUCUAAGAUGCGGCCCAUUUUCUACGUCAUCACGAUGCUCAAGUGAUAUGCUCAGAACAUUCAUUUCUGUUUUUUUUAUACACAUUUACCGAACU
RNAcentral lists this long non-coding RNA (232 nucleotides) under Brassica napus (rape). Its description in RNAcentral is "long non-coding RNA (BNAP_LNC013294)". The record is from RNAcentral. Lineage: Eukaryota; Viridiplantae; Streptophyta; Magnoliopsida; Brassicales; Brassicaceae.